UGGGGAAUAUUGCACAAUGGGCGCAAGCCUGAUGCAGCGAUGCCGCGUGAGGGAAGAAGGUUUUCGGAUUGUAAACCUCUGUCAUCAGGGACGAAAAAAGACGGUACUUGAUGAAUAAGCUCCGGCUAACUACGUGCCAGCAGCCGCGGUAAUACGUAGGGAGCAAGCGUUAUCCGGAUUUACUGGGUGUAAAGGGCGAGUAGGCGGAUUGGCAAGUUGGGAGUGAAAUGUCGGGGCUUAACCCCGGAACUGCUUCCAAAAACUGUUGAUCUUGAGUGAUGGAGAGGCAGGCGGAAUUCCCAGUGUAGCGGUGAAAUGCGUAGAUAUUGGGAGGAACACCAGUGGCGAAGGCGGCCUGCUGGACAUUAACUGACGCUGAGGAGCGAAAGCGUGGGGAGCAAACAGGAUUAGAUACCCUGGUAGU
RNAcentral lists this ribosomal RNA (424 nucleotides) under uncultured Butyricicoccus sp. RNAcentral's name for it is "bacterial SSU rRNA". It matches the Rfam family "Bacterial small subunit ribosomal RNA", at positions 355 to 794 of the family's 1533-position model. The record is from RNAcentral. Lineage: Bacteria; Bacillati; Bacillota; Clostridia; Eubacteriales; Butyricicoccaceae.